UACGUAGGGGGCAAGCGUUAUCCGGAAUUACUGGGUGUAAAGGGAGCGUAGACGGUAAUGUAAGUCUGGAGUGAAAGGCGGGGGCCCAACCCCCGGACUGCUCUGGAAACUAUGUUACUAGAGUGCAGGAGAGGUAAGCGGAAUUCCUAGUGUAGCGGUGAAAUGCGUAGAUAUUAGGAGGAACACCAGUGGCGAAGGCGGCUUACUAGACUGUAACUGACGUUGAGGCUCGAAAGCGUGGGGAGCAAACAGG
RNAcentral lists this ribosomal RNA (253 nucleotides) under uncultured bacterium. RNAcentral's name for it is "partial 16S ribosomal RNA". It matches the Rfam family "Bacterial small subunit ribosomal RNA", at positions 524 to 776 of the family's 1533-position model. The record is from RNAcentral.